CCUUUAGAUGUUCUGGGCUGCACGCGCGCUACACUGACACUAUCAACGAGUGCUCCUGGUUUGAAAGGAUCGGGUAAUCUUUUGAAAUGGUGUCGUGAUGGGGAUAGAUCAUUGCAAUUAUUGAUCUUGAACGAGGAAUUCCUAGUAAAUGUGAGUCAUCAGCUCACGUUGAUUACGUCCCUGCCCUUUGUACACACCGCCCGUCGCUCCUACCGAUUGAGUGAACCGAUGAGUAGUCCGGAUUGCGAUCGACCUCGGUUAAUCGCGAGAAGUUCCGCAAAUCACUUCACUUAGAGGAAGGAGAAGUCGUAACA
Molecule: ribosomal RNA, 314 nt
Filed under: uncultured eukaryote
Lineage: Eukaryota
Description: partial 18S ribosomal RNA
Rfam family: Eukaryotic small subunit ribosomal RNA
Source: RNAcentral